AUGAACGCUAGCGGCAGGCCUAACACAUGCAAGUCGAGGGGUAGAAGGAGCUUGCUCCUUUGAGACCGGCGCACGGGUGCGUAACGCGUAUGCAAUCUACCUUGUACAGGGGAAUAGCCCAGAGAAAUUUGGAUUAAUGCCCCAUAGUAUAUAACCUUCGCAUGUUGGUUAUAUUAAAGUUCCAACGGUACAAGAUGAGCAUGCGUCCCAUUAGUUAGUUGGUAAGGUAACGGCUUACCAAGACGAUGAUGGGUAGGGGUCCUGAGAGGGAGAUCCCCCACACUGGUACUGAGACACGGACCAGACUCCUACGGGAGGCAGCAGUGAGGAAUAUUGGUCGAUGGUCGCAAGACUGAACCAGCCAUGCCGCGUGCAGGAAGACGGUCCUAUGGAUUGUAAACUGCUUUUAUACAGGAAGAAACCCUCCCACGUGUGGGAGCUUGACGGUACUGUAGGAAUAAGGAUCGGCUAACUCCGUG
Molecule: ribosomal RNA, 479 nt
Filed under: uncultured bacterium
Lineage: Bacteria
Description: partial 16S ribosomal RNA
Rfam family: Bacterial small subunit ribosomal RNA
Source: RNAcentral